This 274-nucleotide ribosomal RNA is filed under the name uncultured bacterium. Its description in RNAcentral is "partial 16S ribosomal RNA". It matches the Rfam family "Bacterial small subunit ribosomal RNA", at positions 523 to 796 of the family's 1533-position model. The record is from RNAcentral.
AUACGAAGGGGGCUAGCGUUGUUCGGAUUUACUGGGCGUACAGCGCACGUAGGCGGAUUGAUUAGUUAGGGGUGAAAUCCCGAGGCUCAACCUCGGAACUGCCUUUAAUACUGUCAAUCUCGAGACCGGAAGAGGUGAGUGGAACUCCUAGUGUAGAGGUGGAAUUCGUAGAUAUUAGGAAGAACACCAGUGGCGAAGGCGGCUCACUGGUCCGGUACUGACGCUGAGGUGCGAAAGCGUGGGGAGCGAACAGGAUUAGAAACCCUAGUAGUCC